GUACUUGCUUUGGCAGCACAUGUACUAAAGUUGGAAUGAUACAGAGAAGAUUAGCGUGACCCCUGUGCAAGGAUGGCAUGCAAAAAAGAAAGAAACAUUAGAAGCUA
Molecule: small nuclear RNA, 107 nt
Organism: Cavia aperea (Brazilian guinea pig)
Lineage: Eukaryota; Metazoa; Chordata; Mammalia; Rodentia; Caviidae
Source: Ensembl